Caenorhabditis elegans is the source of this 142-nucleotide non-coding RNA. The record is from Ensembl. Lineage: Eukaryota; Metazoa; Nematoda; Chromadorea; Rhabditida; Rhabditidae.
UUUAACUGUCUUUAAUGGCAAUAUUAACAUCAAAAACAUUGAAACAAAAAUAAACAAAAAGAAACUUCCCAUGCCGGGAAUCGAACCCGGGCCGCGUGGGUGAAAACCACGAAUCCUAACCACUAGACCACAUGGGACUACA